Molecule: unclassified non-coding RNA, 685 nt
Filed under: Hevea brasiliensis (rubber tree)
Lineage: Eukaryota; Viridiplantae; Streptophyta; Magnoliopsida; Malpighiales; Euphorbiaceae
Source: RNAcentral
AGAACUUUAAUCCAUCCUCCCCUUUAACAUGCUCUCACGCACUUCAGUUGGUGUCACAAGAAGAACAUGGCCUCCCCAACCACUUAAACAGUCGCGAUCGACAGAAGCUAGCAGUGCUUGCGAUAUAGUCUCAAAUAGCUCCUCAGGUUCCAUGUCAGCCUUGUACAUAGACUCGCAAGCACCAUAAAGAGACUCCCCGGCUGUACCAGAAACAACGAAGUCUUUUGCGAGCUCCUUGGCACCAAGACAAUCCAUAGUACAAAUGAAUGGAACAUCAUCAUCUCCUAGUCCAGCAAUUACUGGUUGACAGAAAUAUGGACCAAAUCUUUUCUCGUAAAGCAUAGAAGAGACGAGGCUCGCAAACGUCUCCGGCUUCAUAUCCCUCUCCUCCCGGAGCUGAUACAACUUGUGACGGAAAACCAGCCGCUGGUACAGGGUUUGAGCAUCGGUGGCGAGACCGGAGAGCCCGAUGUACAAUUUAUCGUGGAUCUUAUAGAUCCGCUUGAAAUCGGUGGAGAUCGUCUGGAGCUGCACACCGAGACGGCGAUCGCUGGCGAUGGCGAAGCAGUUCUUGCCAACCAUCGCCACAAGGGCGCUCCCGUUGUACUCGAAGAUCGACAUCGCCGGCGAGGUGGGGGCGGUGGACGGAGUGAGAAGUCCGGUGAGGUGGAGAUCUAGGGCUUGG